This is a long non-coding RNA of Oncorhynchus masou masou (cherry salmon), 540 nucleotides long. RefSeq lists it as uncharacterized. The transcript is spliced from 3 exons. The record is from RefSeq and is a predicted model, not a curated record. NCBI's taxonomy places the organism in Eukaryota, Metazoa, Chordata, Actinopteri, Salmoniformes, Salmonidae.
CUGUCUGGCUGCUGGGGCCUGUGUGGCUGUCUACUACCUCUGUCAACACAACCUGCAGCGUGUGGUAACGUCCCCCAGUCCAGAGGAUGUCCUGACAGAGGCCUGGUCUCUGCUGCUGCCUGUAGCAGUGUGUGUCCUCAACACCUUCAUAUCACUACUCUACACACACACACACCUGCUGGAGCGCUACGAUAGCCCACGUACACGCGUCUACGUCACGGUGCUCAGGAAUGCGAUGCUGAAGGUGUCUAUCCUAGCAGUGUUGUGUUACUACUGGUUAGCGCUGGUCCCCGGCAACGUCCCGGUAAGAACUACUACACACAUAUUGUCUGAGUCACAUACGGCACCCUAUUCCCUGUGUAGUGCACUACUUUAGACCAGAGCCCUAUUCCCUCUAUAGUGCACUACUUUAGACCAGAGCCCUAUUCCCUCUAUAGUGCACUACUUUAGACCAGAGCCCUAUUCCCUAUAUAGUGCACUACUUUAGACCAGAGCCCUAUUCCCUGUAUAGUGCACUACUUUAGACCAGAGCCCUAUUCC